This 506-nucleotide ribosomal RNA is filed under the name uncultured bacterium. RNAcentral describes it as "bacterial SSU rRNA". It matches the Rfam family "Bacterial small subunit ribosomal RNA", at positions 28 to 524 of the family's 1533-position model. The record is from RNAcentral.
GACGAACGCUGGCGGCGUGGAUUAGGCAUGCAAGUCGAACGGUAUCAUCCUUUCGGGGGUGAGAGAGUGGCGAACUGGUGAGUAACACGUAGGUUAUCUACCCUCAAGACGGGGACAACCCAGGGAAACUUGGGCUAAUACCGGAUGUGAGCAACUUUUUAGUUGUUUGAAAGGUGGCGUAAGCUGUCGCUUGGGGAUGAGCCUGCGUCCUAUUAGUUAGUUGGUGAGGUAACGGUUCACCUAGGCAAUGAUAGGUAGGCGGCCUUAACGGGUGGUCGCCCACACUGGGAUUGAGAUACGGCCCAGACUCCUACGGGAGGCAGCAGUCGAGAAUAGUCUACAAUGGUCGGAAGACUGAUAGUGCGACGCCGCGUGAACGAUGAAUCCCUUCGGGGUGUAAAGUUCUUUUAUAUGUGAGCAGUGCUUCUUAUAUUAACAGUAUGGGGAGAGAGAUAUUAGCAUAUGAAUAAGCAACGGCUAACUCCGUGCCAGCAGCCGACGGUAAU